This 111-nucleotide non-coding RNA is filed under the name Planctomycetales bacterium. RNAcentral's name for it is "SAM-I sequence". It matches the Rfam family "SAM riboswitch aptamer (S box leader)". Rfam says of the family: The SAM riboswitch is found upstream of a number of genes which code for proteins involved in methionine or cysteine biosynthesis in Gram-positive bacteria. Lineage: Bacteria; Pseudomonadati; Planctomycetota; Planctomycetia; Planctomycetales. The record is from RNAcentral.
AUCUUAUCCAGAGUGGCUGAGGGAAGGGCCCUAUGACGCCACAGCAACCGGUCCGCCAUCCAGGCGGAUGCUGGUGCUAACUCCUGCCCGGCGCCCCGGGCGGCACGCGGA